Rattus norvegicus (Norway rat) is the source of this 5540-nucleotide long non-coding RNA. RefSeq lists it as uncharacterized. NCBI's taxonomy places the organism in Eukaryota, Metazoa, Chordata, Mammalia, Rodentia, Muridae. The record is from RefSeq and is a predicted model, not a curated record.
CCGGUGGUGCUUUCUCAUGGCUCGCGGACGCGCUGUAGUAUAAAUGGCUGUUGAGUCCUCACAUCUACAUGGAACAACUCUAUCACCCCUUCCACGGCUUGGGGGACGUCAGGAAAGACGGGGACGAAGGUCGUGAGAGCUGGAGGAAGAGGCAGAGUGCUGUGCGGCGGCCAUGGCACGGAUCUUAUAUUCAGGAACUCACCGCAGCUGCUCUUACCUAUAUUAGAUCUGCGCUGGGCUGACUGGGUAGGUCAACAUUCCAUCUGAAGGCGUGAGGCACUCACGGCCUCCCUCCAUUCCCAGGGUGUCUAGGCAGAUCACAAAAGCCUCCAACCGUCUUUAAGGAGCAGUGGACAGCUAAUGGUUAUCAGAGGGUGGCAGUUUCUUCAGUGGUGUUCACUGGAAGUGGGAAGCAAGCACACUCUGAGUCCGGUCAUGUGACCAGUGAUUUAUCCAAUCAGACCCGUCAAGCAAAGCCAUGACUCAAGUCAGUGAGACUCAGAUGGAUGUCCUGGGAAGAAAAACAGAAAUUCCAAGAGCUUCGGGAACCCCAGGGGACUGGUUCAAGGAGCUUCCUGGAUCCUGAAGUUAUUAAUACCAAUAUCCUUAAUAUAAGAUGUCAUAGAGUUUACAUACAACUUGCAUAUCCCAUGGAUUUUGCUAGUAUUUAUAUGCAUGAAGCCAGAAGACAAUAGCAAAUAUCUUCCUAAACCACUCUCCUUCUGAGACCAGGUCUCCAACUGAGUUGGCAGGACUGGCCAAGGAGCUCUGGGAUCUGCCUGUCAGCCAACACUAUGAUCAUAAGCAUGCCACAGCAUUAUGAAUACUUAUACAGGUACAGGGCAUCUGAACACAGGUCCUCCUUCACUUUACCAACAGAGCCAGUCCUAGUCCCGUGAUAGAAAAUCUCAUUAGAUCACAGCUAUGCAAUAGCUGCUAUACUGGACCAUUUAAGGAAUGACAACUACGGAAAAAUGCACACGUCUGCUAUAGACACAAUUUUCAAAAGAUCAUUUUCAGUAAGUAGGUAGUUGAGCAUAUGCAUGAAGAAUUCACCGAAAAGGAGGGGCAGAGUUUACAGUGCUCUUGAGUUCUGUGUCAGUCUAGAGCAAAUUUUUGCAUCUAACAGAGGGUUGUGUAAGCCCAGAGUCUAUAUCCAAGUUGAAAAGGAGAAGAAGGACCAGGGGAACCCAGGACCUACAGCUGACGUCUGACACAACAGCACCCGAGUGAGGUAAGCCCAUAAUGUGUGGGCUGCAAAGACUCGGGACUGAAGUGAACUGAUGGACAUAUAGUGUUGGUGAAAGCCACUAAACCAACCUUCUCACAAAGGGCUAGUUGAGAACUUCUGAGACUCUGAUCAAGACAACCACCUCAGAAGCUGGAAGGACCAAGAGAUAGUGUGUGUCUGUGAAGCUAUAAAGGUUCUGGGAAACUCCUUAAAGGCAAGAAAUGGGCAGGGGAAAAAUAUCACAGUGUGUGUAUGUGUGUGUAUGUGUGUGUGUGUGUGUGUGUGAGAGAGAGAGAGAGAGACAGAGAGACAGAGAGACAGAGAGACAGAGAGACAGAGAGACAGAGACAAAGAGACAAAGAGACAGAGACAGAAAGAGACGAAGACACAGAGAAAAAGCCACAGUCCCCAAAGUGGGACUGAAGGUCAUGUGACUGGAGUCAUCAUAGAUUCUGUGCAGUCAGGCCACUGGGAUAGUCUAUAGUCUUUGGAAUGAGAACAGAUUGGCUAACCGGGAGAGACUGGGUCAGUCAGAGAGUAAAUCUCACCUCUGCUAAAGCAUGGCCUCCAAAGGACCUCAGAGCCUUAAGCUGGAGCUUCCUUAGGGGCUGAUGGUGCAGCCAGUCAGCUGUGACCAUCUGUGUUCCUUAGCUCCUGAUCCCUCUCUUUCUGGAGCAGCCUGCAAAGCUGUAGGAAGUGUUAAACUGCUAAAUAAAAAAGCAGCCAGGGAUGGCAUCUGUGCCCAGUGCCCCAACACAGACAGGUUUAGAAGAGACAGGCUUGCACUCAGAGUUGGGAAGUAGGCUUAUCACCCUGGACUCAAAUGAGACAUCUUCAAGAAGACUAGAGAUGACCAAAUAAAUUUAUUUUUUAGCCUAAAUAUGCCAGGAAUAUCCAUCCUGAAGUGUGACUUUUGGCUCAUCAAAGGGGUAAGGGGAAGACGCACCCUUAGAACUAUUGCUUAGAAAGUUUAAGCACUAGUUUGGAGAAACAUUAUCAUCUAGAAGGUAACUGUCUACCUACAGCAGCAUUGCUAGUGUUUUUACAUCUCAUUACAUGCAUUAGACAUAGACUCCAUACGGCCCUCUGAACGGUGGGUACCAUCGUUAUCACUUAAGUGUUUGAUAGGAGGCAGAAUAAUAUAUCAAUGCUGUAAGCAACUGAGGGGCAGCUCAGAGCUGGUGUGUGAGCCCAGAUCUCACUGGUCCAGUCGUACUAUGCUAGCCUGCACAUGGAUACAGCUUUGAAACCUAACACGGACAAAUUGCAUGAUAAAAGUGGGACUCGCCCGAUCCCUUUCAAAGGUGUUACUGUGUGCUCCAGUGAAUCAGAGUCCUUGGUAAUCGAAUCACUGAAAAGGCUGUGGUCUGUAGCUGUCAUUUUCCCACCUCUGUCUCUGCCUUUAGGCUACCUGUUUGUGCAUCUCAACCUCGGCACGAAGAUGACCAUCAUACCGUUUGGUUACGCCAAGCCUAAAUGAUAACCCAAUUUGACACUUGAUGGGAGGGAAACAUUUAGUGGAAGAACACGUAAUGAACAAUCUUCCUCUUACAGCAUCACUGCUGCGGGAGCCUAGUUUUACAAUAACUUUUAAUUGCACACCUCCAGGCUUGAAGUAUAAUUUAUUAUUCAUUUAUUCUUGAAAGAUUACAGGAAGUCUGACAUUUCUUACACACACACACACACACACACACACACACACACACACACACAGCACAGCAUUUGCUAGGGUCGUUCAUUAGAAUAGAUAAGUAAAUUAUCUAUUAUCAUUAUUGUCACUAUUCUUAUCCUUCCCUCUAUAAUCAAAUUGCCAUGGCAACCGUGAGCUGGAGGAAGAUUUACGCCUCUGACCGUGGUGCACAGGGUUUAGCGCACUGUAAGUCUGAAAAGUCCCCUCGGGGGUGGGGGACAAAAUGUAUGUAACAGCUUGCAUUUCCUCCGCCGCAGCUGAGCUGUGCCCUGAACUUCAUAAGCAGCCUGGGACACAUUGGGGAAUCCUUCAAAAUGAGCCACUCCACAACAUGUAGCACACGAAGGAACUAUUAUUGUUGUCUUCAAUUACCUCAAGUCCCGGGGAUCCUAAUAAAUGAAGACUCUGCAAUAAUGAAAUAAUAAAUUUUCAUUUAGAAGAAGUCACAAUCUGAAUAUCCUUAAUCCCUCUCCUAAACAUCCCAGUACCGGGCGAUGUUGCCCUUGACUGUCCUCGGGGCUGUCGGUAAGAUUGAAUCUUCAGUCUUUACCGAGUAAAUUCUUAACUCAAGGGAGUAUAAGAGGCCUGGGGAACAAAGGUGACAGGUAAAACGGUUUAAGAAAUUACCCUUUAAAACCGUGUCAGCGAUUGAUGGACUAACGAUUCCUUUAGCGGAUUGAGAGCUCACUGAAAUUAGACAGACAGGCAUGAUACCACAAAUCUGCAUGUUUCCUCAUCAUCAAAUGUUUCACAGAAGAAGUGAAGACAGAGAUGACAGGAGCAGGAAUAUCAGCACUUCUGAACGCCCAGACGUUGCUCAUUAUCUUUAAAGUUCUGACUAGGCUUAACAUUUCUGCUAUUUCAAAGGCUCAAUGCAACAAAGAUGUGGGCUCCAAGAACCAGUAAACUUUUCCACCAGCGCAGUCCCUCUCCUUCCCUUAUGGUUUAAAUGUUCUAUAAAACUUUCCUCCAGAUUGAAGCCUUGUGAGAAAAUUGGGGGGGGGGGUCUUUUUUUAAGACUCAGGAAAACAGCAAAAUAUACCAGUCUUAGGAAGAUCCUAAAACUUACAGGACUCACAAAGCUCCUCUCAAAGCUAUAUAAAUGUUAGCAAUUGCAGAAGAGGGGAACCUAUAAUCAGCUGGGCUGUAUAUUACCGCAAGAAGGAGGAGACAUAUGAUCAGCUAAGCUACAUGUCACACAUAGAACUCCAGGGACAGCUUUGGUGAGGCGUAACCAUACUGUGGUAGGCUUUCUGGUGAUGCAGCUGUGUUGAAGCCACACAUGCCUCACCUGUACUCAUAAGUAAUGUUUACAAAUUCACUGCUUUACUAACCUUGACUUGGUGAUAUUUCUUUGGUCUGUCGUCAGUGCCCUUUCUGGGUUGGGGUAGGGGGAGUAUGAAGUAUUUGUUCAUAUUUUCCCUAGAGAAGUCACAUAGCAAUGUGAAAAUGCCCCCUAGAGCAGUGGUUCACCAUCCAUGGAUUGCGACCCCCUUUGGGGAUCGCAAAUCAGACAUUUUCAUUACUAUUCAAAACAAUAGCAAAAUUACACUUAGGAAGUAGCAAUAAAAUACAUUUGUGGCUGGAGUUCACCACAACAUGAGGGACUGUGUUAUAGGGUCACAGCAUUAGGAAAUUUGAGAAACACUGUCCGAUAGGAUUAUGUGUGUGUAAUACUUGCCCCCCCACACACACACACACACUGGUGACGCAGUUUUUUAAAGUCGUGGAACCUUUACGAGGUGGAUCUUUGUGAGGUAAGUGGGUCACUGCGGGAUGAUGUUGAGGUUGUAUAGCGCACCCCACUUCCUGUCCCUACUCUUGCUUCCUGACUGCUUAUGUAAUGUGACCAGGAAGCCCACGAGUCUGCCACUGCGCCUUCCCCGUGAUGAAGCACUAUAAGCCCUCUUAAAAUAUAAAAUAAAUGCCAAAAGCAGCCCUCCCUCACGUAAGCAAGUGCUGAGUUACAGGACUGAGAAAAAUAACAGAUACGCCUCCCCCGCCACCUCCCUCACUAGUCUCCACUCUGAAGUAAAACUGUGAGUUAUAGAUUGCUUCGUCUUAUGUGUCCCCAAAGCUCGAUGGCUGUUCAAACAUCAACAUACAUAAAUUCCAUGUAAAAUUGUCAAAUAGAAUAAAACUUUAUGACUCAGUGAAUAUUGACCCUCAUUUACUCCAGGAACGUCGUUCUCCAUAAUGUGGUAAAAUCAGAAGUUAAAGCCCCAGGCCUUCCUUCCCAACUAAAAAGCCUUUAACUCAGAGUCAUAGCUAGUCUUUAUGUCACAAUCACACAAUCUAGAGUCAUCUGAGAGGAGAGACUCUCGGUUGAGAAAAUGCUUCCAUAAGAUCCAACGGUAGAGUACUUUCUUAACUAAUGACCAAUGGGUGAGGGCCCAGCCCAUUGGGUGAAUCCAUCCCUGGACUGGUGGUCUCCGGUUCUAUAAGAAAGCAGACUGGGCAAGUCAUGAGGAGCAAGUCAAGCACGCAGCUCUCCUUCACAGCCUCUGCAUGAGCCCCUGUCUCCAGGAACCCUCCCGCCCUGUUUGAAUCCCAGCCCUGGCUUCCCUCAGUGAACUGUGACUUUGGAUAUGUAGGCCAAAUAAAACAUUUCCUCCCCAA